GAUGAACGCUGGCGGCGUGCUUAACACAUGCAAGUCGAACGGGGAUGCAGGGAACGGAGCGAAUAGCUUGCUAUGAGCGAAGUACCUUGUAUCUUAGUGGCGGACGGGUGAGUAACGCGUGGGUAACCUGCCAUAUACAGGGGGAUAACAGCGAGAAAUUGCUGCUAAAACCGCAUAAGCGCACGGAGCCGCAUGACUCAGUGUGAAAAACUCCGGUGGUAUAUGAUGGACCCGCGUCUGAUUAGCCAGUUGGCAGGGUAACGGCCUACCAAAGCGACGAUCAGUAGCCGGCCUGAGAGGGUGGACGGCCACAUUGGGACUGAGACACGGCCCAA
RNAcentral lists this ribosomal RNA (335 nucleotides) under uncultured bacterium. RNAcentral describes it as "bacterial SSU rRNA". It matches the Rfam family "Bacterial small subunit ribosomal RNA", at positions 28 to 334 of the family's 1533-position model. The record is from RNAcentral.